RNAcentral lists this non-coding RNA (148 nucleotides) under Pan troglodytes (chimpanzee). Lineage: Eukaryota; Metazoa; Chordata; Mammalia; Primates; Hominidae. The record is from Rfam by way of RNAcentral.
GCCAGGCGUGGUGGCGCAUGCCUGUAAUCCCAGCUACUCAAGAGGCUGAGGCAGGAGAAUCGCUUGAACCCAGGAGGUGGAGGUUGCAGUACGCCGAGAUCACGCCACUGCACUCCAGCCUGGGUGACAGAGCGAGAUUCUGUCUCGA